Molecule: long non-coding RNA, 768 nt
Filed under: Saimiri boliviensis boliviensis (Bolivian squirrel monkey)
Lineage: Eukaryota; Metazoa; Chordata; Mammalia; Primates; Cebidae
Description: lncRNA (ENSSBOG00000036449.1)
Source: RNAcentral
GAGUAUUUGGAUAAAUGAUGAGGGAACAUGGCUCCAGGGGUUCUCAAGAUCUGUCCUGCUGCCCUUUAGCACUCAGCUGUGGCCUUGGACGGGUCCCCACCUUCAUCCCAGAUUGGUUGGAAAGAACCCAACGGGACAUGGGCACACCCUCCCUUCCUGGGCCUCUUCCCCAGGUGGCCCCGGUGAGAGAUCAGGAAGCUCCCAGACAUAGGAUGUCUAACUCACUCAGGCGAUCACGUGACAGAGAGAAGAGGGGCUUGAGCAGAGAGAAUGCUUAGAGGCUAAGCGAUGAUGGGCAGCCCGACCUGGAUGGGAUUCGCUCCUGGGUACAAAACGGGACACUGAUCAGAAUCAACUUGGACAAGUGACAAGAGUGAGUCUGAUGUCGGUGGAUGUCUUUUAAGGUCGUUGGAGGGAAGAGGAAGGACGGGAGGGGUGUGCUGAGGGGUAGGUGGAGAGAGGCACCGAGUCCAGAGCCGGGAUAUAAAGGCACCAGGAGUCGGGGAGCGGAGGAGCAAAUGAGUGGGGGAAAGAGGGAGAGGAAGAGUUGGAGAAAAGUCUAGGGAAAGUAGGGACAGGGUUAAGGGGAGACGGGAGGAUGAGGGCGGCGAGGAGAGAUUAAAAGGGGAAGGGGAGUCACUGGAGAGGAGGGCGGACUGUUGGAUCGGAGGUAGGGAGACGGGCGAGGGGCGAGGGGCGUGCUCGGGGUGGGGGGCGCCGGGGCGAGGAGAAGGAGCUGGGGAAGAGGAGCGGGGCUAGAAAGCGAGA